CUUGCUUCUCUUGAGAGCGGCGGACGAGGUGAGUAAUGCCUAGGAAUCUGCCUGGUAGUGGGGGAUAACGUCCGGAAACGGACGCUAAUACCGCAUACGUCCUACGGGAGAAAGCAGGGGACCUUCGGGCCUUGCGCUAUCAGAUGAGCCUAGGUCGGAUUAGCUAGUUGGUGGGGUAAUGGCUCACCAAGGCGACGAUCCGUAACUGGUCUGAGAGGAUGAUCAGUCACACUGGAACUGAGACACGGUCCAGACUCCUACGGGAGGCAGCAGUGGGGAAUAUUGGACAAUGGGCGAAAGCCUGAUCCAGCCAUGCCGCGUGUGUGAAGAAGGUCUUCGGAUUGUAAAGCACUUUAAGUUGGGAGGAAGGGCAGUAAAUUAAUACUUUGCUGUUUUGACGUUACCGACAGAAUAAGCACCGGCUAACUCUGUGCCAGCAGCCGCGGUAAUACAGAGGGUGCAAGCGUUAAUCGGAAUUACUGGGCGUAAAGCGCGCGUAGGUGGUUCGUUAAGUUGGAUGUGAAAUCCCCGGGCUCAACCUGGGAACUGCAUUCAAAACUGACGAGCUAGAGUAUGGUAGAGGGUGGGUGGAAUU
Molecule: ribosomal RNA, 595 nt
Filed under: uncultured bacterium
Lineage: Bacteria
Description: bacterial SSU rRNA
Rfam family: Bacterial small subunit ribosomal RNA
Source: RNAcentral